UGACAUUAAGAUGCGCUACACUGCUGCAUGGAAAACUUGGUCAGAAAUACCUUUAAAGACAAAAGACGAGCUCUUCGGACUUUUUCGGGUAAAUACAACUUAUAUUCUAAAAUUUCUAAUAUGUAUUUUAAGUUUUUUAAAUUUACAUAGCAUUGAUUGUUAUUUGUAGAGUCGAUAUGUAUGGGAUGAGAGUGAAGAAGAUAUGGUUCGAAUUGCUUGGGAAAAGGUAGGUAAAGAAAGACUACGAGACAUUCUUAAUAGAGUUAGGAGCGAAUUGUUGCGCAAGCACAAA
RNAcentral lists this long non-coding RNA (292 nucleotides) under Manihot esculenta (cassava). RNAcentral's name for it is "long non-coding RNA (MESC_LNC007945)". Lineage: Eukaryota; Viridiplantae; Streptophyta; Magnoliopsida; Malpighiales; Euphorbiaceae. The record is from RNAcentral.